UGGGGAAUAUUGGACAAUGGGGGCAACCCUGAUCCAGCAAUGCCGCGUGUGUGAAGAAGGUCUUCGGAUUGUAAAGCACUUUCGUUGGGGAAGAUGAUGACGGUACCCAAAGAAGAAGCCCCGGCUAACUUCGUGCCAGCAGCCGCGGUAAUACGAAGGGGGCUAGCGUUGCUCGGAAUGACUGGGCGUAAAGGGCGCGUAGGCGGUUUAUACAGUCAGGUGUGAAAUCCUUGGGCUUAACCUGAGAACUGCAUUUGAGACGUGUAGACUAGAGUAUGAGAGAGGGUUGUGGAAUUCCCAGUGUAGAGGUGAAAUUCGUAGAUAUUGGGAAGAACACCGGUUGCGAAGGCGGCAACCUGGCUCAUUACUGACGCUGAGGCGCGAAAGCGUGGGGAGCAAACAGG
Molecule: ribosomal RNA, 404 nt
Filed under: uncultured Acetobacteraceae bacterium
Lineage: Bacteria; Pseudomonadati; Pseudomonadota; Alphaproteobacteria; Acetobacterales; Acetobacteraceae
Description: bacterial SSU rRNA
Rfam family: Bacterial small subunit ribosomal RNA
Source: RNAcentral